RNAcentral lists this ribosomal RNA (558 nucleotides) under Rhizobium sp. Its description in RNAcentral is "bacterial SSU rRNA". It matches the Rfam family "Bacterial small subunit ribosomal RNA", at positions 52 to 658 of the family's 1533-position model. Lineage: Bacteria; Pseudomonadati; Pseudomonadota; Alphaproteobacteria; Hyphomicrobiales; Rhizobiaceae. The record is from RNAcentral.
CACAUGCAAGUCGAACGCCCCGCAAGGGGAGUGGCAGACGGGUGAGUAACGCGUGGGAAUCUACCCAUCUCUGCGGAAUAGCUCUGGGAAACUGGAAUUAAUACCGCAUACGCCCUACGGGGGAAAGAUUUAUCGGGGAUGGAUGAGCCCGCGUUGGAUUAGCUAGUUGGUGGGGUAAAGGCCUACCAAGGCGACGAUCCAUAGCUGGUCUGAGAGGAUGAUCAGCCACAUUGGGACUGAGACACGGCCCAAACUCCUACGGGAGGCAGCAGUGGGGAAUAUUGGACAAUGGGCGCAAGCCUGAUCCAGCCAUGCCGCGUGAGUGAUGAAGGCCUUAGGGUUGUAAAGCUCUUUCACCGGAGAAGAUAAUGACGGUAUCCGGAGAAGAAGCCCCGGCUAACUUCGUGCCAGCAGCCGCGGUAAUACGAAGGGGGCUAGCGUUGUUCGGAAUUACUGGGCGUAAAGCCCACGUAGGCGGAUAUUUAAGUCAGGGGUGAAAUCCCAGAGCUCAACUCUGGAACUGCCUUUGAUACUGGGUAUCUUGAGUAUGGAAGAGGU